Long non-coding RNA from Galeopterus variegatus (Sunda flying lemur), 681 nucleotides. RefSeq lists it as uncharacterized. Lineage: Eukaryota; Metazoa; Chordata; Mammalia; Dermoptera; Cynocephalidae. The record is from RefSeq and is a predicted model, not a curated record. The transcript has 2 exons.
UAGUACUCCCUAAGCUGGAUUCUUCUAUCCCCAAAACUUCACUGAACAGAGUAUUCGGAUCCCUUGGCUGAAACCUUGCAACCUCAUCUAGGGAAACAAUGAAGCCCAGAGCUUGUCAGAUAUUGGGGGUGGGGAUAUUACAGAAACCCCCCCUUAGGAUGAGACUCUCACAUUGCUCUUCCGGGAAACAUUAAAAGAAGAGAUUUGUCCAUGAGGUUCUCCAAAUUGAUUUAUUUCUUUUGUGUUCCUGGGCCUGAUGCAGUCCGUGGCUUGCAGGUUAUUCUGUGUUGUCUCUUCCUUGUCCACUCUCCAUCUUUCUCUCUCCUGCUCUCUGCCCAGGGGUUUCCCUGUGUCAACCGCUGCCCUGCCCUGUGAUGUCCAGUGGGUCUGGCCAAUGGGAAUCCCCAGUAGGAGACAGGAGUGAGGUCAGAAUACGAAGUCCCUGGCUCCUCCUUGUGAGGUCACCUUGGGCUGGCAGUGUCCUUUCAUUGAAUCUGACUGCUCUCCUCCCAGAAACCCUCUCUACACAGCUCUCUCUCCAUGCAUGUUCUGGCAUCUUCUUCCUCUCCCAUUUUUUAGGCCAGCAGUGGUUCUACCAUUGCUGCAGCAGGCCCCAGUACCCAGUACUGCCUCCUUUGUAAUUCAUCUCUUUCUAAAUAAACCUUCCUUGAAUUAUUCUAA